This 468-nucleotide ribosomal RNA is filed under the name uncultured bacterium. RNAcentral's name for it is "partial 16S ribosomal RNA". It matches the Rfam family "Bacterial small subunit ribosomal RNA", at positions 28 to 507 of the family's 1533-position model. The record is from RNAcentral.
GACGAACGCUGGCGGCGUGCUUAACACAUGCAAGUCGAACGGAAAGGCCCUGCUUUUGUGGGGUGCUCGAGUGGCGAACGGGUGAGUAACACGUGAGUAACCUGCCCUUGACUUUGGGAUAACUUCAGGAAACUGGGGCUAAUACCGGAUAGGAGCUCCUGCUGCAUGGUGGGGGUUGGAAAGUUUCGGCGGUUGGGGAUGGACUCGCGGCUUAUCAGCUUGUUGGUGGGGUAGUGGCUUACCAAGGCUUUGACGGGUAGGCGGCCUGGGAGGGUGACCGGCCACAUUGGGACUGAGGUACGGCCCAGACUCCUACGGGAGGCAGCAGGGGGGAAUAUUGCACAAUGGGCGGAAGCCUGAUGCAGCAACGCCGCGUGCGGGAUGACGGCCUUCGGGUUGUAAACCGCUUUCGCCUGUGACGAAGCGUGAGUGACGGUAAUUGGUAAAGAAGCACCGGCUAACUACGUG